RNAcentral lists this ribosomal RNA (301 nucleotides) under uncultured bacterium. Its description in RNAcentral is "partial 16S ribosomal RNA". It matches the Rfam family "Bacterial small subunit ribosomal RNA", at positions 509 to 809 of the family's 1533-position model. The record is from RNAcentral.
CAGUAGCCGCGGUAAUACGAAGGGGGCUAGCGUUGUUCGGAAUUACUGGGCGUAAAGCGCACGUAGGCGGAUAUUUAAGUCAGGGGUGAAAUCCCGCAGCUCAACUGCGGAACUGCCUUUGAUACUGGGUAUCUUGAGUAUGGAAGAGGUUAGUGGAAUUGCGAGUGUAGAGGUGAAAUUCGUAGAUAUUCGCAGGAACACCAGUGGCGAAGGCGGCUAACUGGUCCAUAACUGACGCUGAGGUGCGAAAGCGUGGGGAGCAAACAGGAUUAGAUACCCGUGUAGUCCCUGUCUCUUAUAA